Molecule: long non-coding RNA, 509 nt
Organism: Nicotiana tabacum (common tobacco)
Lineage: Eukaryota; Viridiplantae; Streptophyta; Magnoliopsida; Solanales; Solanaceae
Source: RefSeq, a predicted model, not a curated record
CUUCUUCUCUCCAAAGUGCGCGGCUGCUUUUGCCAUCCUAAUCCGGCAAGGGCUUGGCAUCUCCCAUCAGCUGCAAUGAUUUUCUUUGAUGCUGGCUUUGGGAUUUCAGACGAGAAUUCUAUGACUGCUCCGCCACUAGUUAACAGGAAACGUAAAAGAAUGAAUAAGCCACGUGGUGUAAAUGCUGAAAAUUGGUUGGACGAGGCCACGCCGAUCCUCAUCCAUAUCCUACAUGAGGAUGCAAGGAAAUAUGGGUUCAAUGGUUCAACCCUUUAGUGCUCUACGAUGGAGGGAAGUUAUCGAUGAAUUUUGGAUGAAAUCUGGAAGAAAGACACUUAUGACGAAAAUCGCAUUAAGUCCAAACAUCAAAGGUUAAGGACAGACACGAAAAACUUCAGGACCCUCCUUAAUUCUUCCUCCGGCUAUGGUUGGGAUCCUGAAAAUAACACAAUUACUUGCCCAGCUAUAUUUGACAAAAACAUGUGCUGGUAAGUUUGUGAGAUGAGUAA